Molecule: long non-coding RNA, 711 nt
Organism: Suricata suricatta (meerkat)
Lineage: Eukaryota; Metazoa; Chordata; Mammalia; Carnivora; Herpestidae
Exons: 3
Source: RefSeq, a predicted model, not a curated record
UAAUGAUAGUGUACUUAUACUGACUUUGUUAGGAAUUCAAUAACUCUCUUGAAGUAACUUAGUAGCUUUGAAAAUACAGUUUUAAACUUUUGGUAAACAUUUCUGUAAAUUGCUGUUUUAGAAGGGAAGUCGGAUCAUUUGGUUGAGAGGAUUGGCCUUCACUGAAGCCAGAGUUAGAUUAGGUGUCUGCUGAGUCCGAAUCUCUGCCCCCACAAGCCGCUUCCUGGCUGCACGUGUCUCCAAUGGAACCCGGGGACAGAGUGCGGCUGCAACGAUUCACACCCUUCAUCCUGCCUUUGCAGGAAACACCUCCCCGCGUCAUCUGCGUGUGUGAAUGUGGAUCAUCAACGCUUUGGUCCUGGAUGAGCCAGGGCAGGAAACAGACUCAGAGGCGUUCAGUUAGUAAACACGAGCUGGAUUGCAAACCACACCCAUUGCUCUAACUUCCAGGCCACAUUCUCACGGGACCGUGUGUGGCUCAGCUGAACACCACAAAGAGGCCUGGUAAAGAUGUUAUGAAUUGAUGCCUGCAGUGUGCCCGGCCCCCCACAACAUCACGUGUGCCUUGAAUGAAUGUAGACGUGUAUGCAGCAGCUAAGAAUCAACUUCUUUUAUCAACAUUAAUCUGUUUAUUGAAGAAAAAUGUAAGACAAGGAUAAGAAUGUUGAAAAGCAUGCUGGAAGAAAAUAAAAUGCAUUAAUAUUGAAUGGA